This is a long non-coding RNA of Penaeus chinensis, 445 nucleotides long. RefSeq lists it as uncharacterized. The transcript is spliced from 2 exons. NCBI's taxonomy places the organism in Eukaryota, Metazoa, Arthropoda, Malacostraca, Decapoda, Penaeidae. The record is from RefSeq and is a predicted model, not a curated record.
AGUUUAUGGUUCUCUGGUCGGAGACUCGAGGCCCUGGGUUGAACGGGACAGACAUACGGGUCUUGAUUUUCACUGACUAUCGUAAACUUUUACAUUGGCGUUUGGUUAGUUUGUAUACGAGCAGUGAAGGUGCAGUAAAAUGUGAAAAUGGAGUAAAUGGAGUAUUGAGUUGUGAUCAGGUUCUUAUACCUGAAUGGCCGCACACCACAAGAGACCUUCGAUGAAAUGGAAGCAACUUGUGGGGGGGAUGCCCAAUCAUAUGACGUUAUUAAACGCUAGUUCAGGUGUGAUCGGAGACCUGUGGAAACGGCUCCUAUCCCAGGGCGACCCCAGUCUGCCAUGGAUGAGGACAUCAGCCAUCAAGUGGAGAUUGCCAUUUUGGAUAAUCUCUUGUCAGUUAGCCAAGAUGUCAAGAUUAAUUAAAUAAUAAUGAUAAUAAUAAUAA